CCAGACUCCUACGGGAGGCAGCAGUGAGGAAUAUUGGUCAAUGGACGCAAGUCUGAACCAGCCAAGUAGCGUGCAGGAUGACGGCCCUAUGGGUUGUAAACUGCUUUUAUGUGGGAAUAAAGUGGCGCACGUGUGCGCCAUUGCAUGUACCUCAUGAAUAAGGACCGGCUAAUUCCGUGCCAGCAGCCGCGGUAAUACGGAAGGUCCGGGCGUUAUCCGGAUUUAUUGGGUUUAAAGGGAGUGUAGGCGGUCUGUUAAGCGUGUUGUGAAAUUUAGGUGCUCAACAUUUAACUUGCAGCGCGAACUGUCAGACUUGAGUACACGCAGCGCAGGCGGAAUUCAUGGUGUAGCGGUGAAAUGCUUAGAUAUCAUGAGGAACUCCGAUCGCGAAGGCAGCCUGCGGGAGUGUUACUGACGCUUAAGCUCGAAGGUGCGGGUAUCGAACAGGAUUAGAUACCCUGGUAGUCCGCACAGUAAACGAUGGAUGCCCGCCGUUGGCGCCCUGCGCCUGCGGCCAAGCGAAAGCAUUAAGCAUCCCACCUGGGGAGUACGCCGGCAACGGUGAAACUCAAAGGAAUUGACGGGGGCCCGCACAAG
Molecule: ribosomal RNA, 597 nt
Filed under: uncultured bacterium
Lineage: Bacteria
Description: bacterial SSU rRNA
Rfam family: Bacterial small subunit ribosomal RNA
Source: RNAcentral